GAGCUGGACCGGAUGAUCGCGGGCACAAGUGCUGAAAAGCCGUGCGUGAGGAAAGUCCGGGCUCCAUAGGACAAGGGUGCCGGGCAGUUCCCGGUGAAGGUAACUUUAAGGAAAGUGCAACAGAAAAGAAAACCGCCUCGGUCUUCGGACCGCGGUAAGGAUGAAAAGGCGAGGUAAGAGCUCACCGGCGGUGCGGUAACGUACCGGCCUUGUAAACCCCACCCGGAGCAACGCCAUGGAAAAGACAUACUGUGGUCCGCAGGUCUUUCAGGAGGCGGCUUGAGCCGGAACGAGAUUUCCGGUCUAGAUAGAUGAUCAUCCUCGACAGAACCCGGCUUACAGGUUCAACUCGGAA
This 355-nucleotide RNase P RNA is filed under the name Clostridiales bacterium. RNAcentral's name for it is "RNase P RNA component class A". It matches the Rfam family "Bacterial RNase P class A". Rfam says of the family: Ribonuclease P (RNase P) is a ubiquitous endoribonuclease, found in archaea, bacteria and eukarya as well as chloroplasts and mitochondria. Its best characterised activity is the generation of mature 5'-ends of tRNAs by cleaving the 5'-leader elements of precursor-tRNAs. Cellular RNase Ps are ribonucleoproteins. Lineage: Bacteria; Bacillati; Bacillota; Clostridia; Eubacteriales. The record is from RNAcentral.